Molecule: ribosomal RNA, 466 nt
Filed under: uncultured bacterium
Lineage: Bacteria
Description: partial 16S ribosomal RNA
Rfam family: Bacterial small subunit ribosomal RNA
Source: RNAcentral
CUACGGGGUGCUCCAGUGGGGAAUAUUGGACAAUGGGGGAAACCCCGAUCCAGCAAUGCCGCGUGUGUGAAGAAGGCCUGCGGGUUGUAAAGCACUUUCGGUUGGGAGGACUGCUUCUAGCACUAAUAUUGUUGGAAGUUGACGUUACCUUCAGAAGAAGCACCGGCUAACUCCGUGCCAGCAGCCGCGGGUAAUACGGAGGGUGCAAGCGUUAAUCGGAAUUACUGGGCGUAAAGCGCGCGUAGGCGGCUAGAUCAGUCGGGUGUGAAAGCCCCGGGCUUAACCUGGGAACUGCAUCCGAUACUGUCUAGCUUGAGUACAGGAGAGGAGAGUGGAAUUCCACAUGUAGCGGUGAAAUGCGUAGAUAUGUGGAGGAACACCAAUGGCGAAGGCAGCUCUCUGGCCUGAUACUGACGCUGAGGUGCGAAAGCGUGGGGAGCAAACAGGAUUAGAUACCCUUGUAGUC